Molecule: RNA transcript, 3931 nt
Organism: Cavia porcellus (domestic guinea pig)
Lineage: Eukaryota; Metazoa; Chordata; Mammalia; Rodentia; Caviidae
Exons: 5
Source: RefSeq, a predicted model, not a curated record
UUGCUGGAACUCUCAUUCCAAGCCUGAAGCCUGUCCUCUGAACAGGUGGACCACUCACUUUGAAUCCCAGGAUUCAUGCAUGGUCCUUCUCCAGAGGUGCAGCCUCUUUCCUGGCCAGUAAGCAAGUUCAUCCAGAAAGGGGCUGUUAUGGUUUGAUAACUAGUGGUCAACUUAACACCAGCUGGAUUCCAUCAGCAUGCAUUGAGAGAAGAUGCUCCACCUGAGAAGGGUUGCCAGGAUAAAUAGGUGGAGAAGAAGAGAGGUGUUGAGAGGGAUUGAGGCGUUAUGGAGACAUUGUUGGUUCUCCUACGAGUUGCUGUCUGAGCUGUUGGUUCUCCUGGAGAAGCUUUGGUCUUCACAUCGAGCAUUGCUUCCUGGCUCCGGAGGGGAAGACAUGUGCUGCCUGGUCUCCAGGAUGAACUCGUCAUGCUGCUUCCUGGCACAUACCCGACUGUGCUUGUCGUCGGAGGAGCUCGGGGCCUCCGUGUCGCUGAGGACAGCUGUGGUGCCUUUCAGGACAGCCCCGCUCUUUGUUGUGAGUGUGACUUCUCAACUCCAGUGUAGAACCCUCAUCCCACUAGCACAGUUCCUUCAAUCUGCUGGCAUAGACUUUCUGGCUUCCACCGCUGACCCUGGGGUCUUCCCGGCACGAAUCUGUAAAAGAGACUGGCGUAAGUCCUUCUUGUGGGCUCUGGACUUCCAGUUGGACUCGUGGAGGCACUGUUCUGAGCUCUGGGUUUUUAUCUGGACUCAUUUGGGACAUUGCCAUGGGGUUUAGACUCUUGACUAAAUAAUCUAUGUCGGUGGUGUUGCGGAUGGAUUUCCUGCAUUCUCCUGUGUUAACUUCCAGUGACCAUUAUAAAAAUAUUAUAAACUCCAUGUCCUGAUCUGAAUUGUUCUCUGUGUACAACACCAGACUACAACAGGGGCCCAGGAUGGGGCACUGGCUCUUGGUUGGCUCAAAAGUUCUGUCUGCCCUAGCCCCAGGCGCCCCUCUUGGCAGUAGGAUCCAGGGAUCCCAGGCCACUAGAAGCUUCCAGCUGGGACUGAGCUUUCCUUUUUGCUUAAUCUGGAGCAUUACAGAGACAUUUCUCCAAGGACAGAAGCCCUCUCCAGCUUUCCUUCUAUCCAGCAGAGUUGCCCAGGUUGCAGCUGCCCUGAGACUCAGGUUGUCCUGGAGUAGCUGUUUUGGGGAUGGGUGGAUUAAUCUUUCACACGCUAGAGUGAUUGGCAGGGAUGCUUCCCAGGAGGAGGAAGAGGACAGGUCAGGCUGGGGCAGAGUUGAGCCCCAGAGCAAGGAGAGCCAGGGAGGAUCUGCAGACUGGAAAUAGCUAGAUGGUGUUACUGUGCAGCCUCAAGUGCCUAUCAAGGUCCAACGUGUCCAGGACUAUUGUGAUCAUUACUGCUUUGAGAAGUUGACCCCCACUCAAGUCCCCUCAUCCAGGAGUGCACUGACUGUCUCUCUAGGGGGCAUUGCUGUGGACAUCCUUAAGCAUGCCAUUGGCUUCCCCAUCCUAUGGCCAAGACCUUUCAAUCUUGUAAGACAUUGGUGGUAGGGGAAGGUUCAUUCUUGUAUUUACUUCUUCAUUCCACAAAGAGCUAAGUAUCUUGCUAGUUACCCAAUAUCAUAUAAAGAGGAAAUGGCUUGGUCCCCAACUACUGGGACCUUAGGGUUUAGUUGAGAAUCCAGGUAGCAGCCAGGAAGCACAUUCAUUAUACAGCUGGAUGGGGUGAGGUGGGAUUUUAACAAGUUUGUGUGAAGGAAAUAGAGAGUGGGAAGGGGUGAAUUAAUUCUGGGGGGAGGUGGAGAGGGUCAGGGAAAGUGACAUUCCAGAGUUGUGUCUUGCUGGGGCUUUCAGAGGGGUAAAAUGGGAAGCACUUUGUACAGGCAAGGACUCAGCGAAGCAGAGAUACUUGGGGUGGCCUGACCCAUUCACUGGUUGUAAUUGUUGCCUAGGGAAGUUAGCUUUUCAGUGCUGCAGAGUCCCUUGCCAUUUGAACAGCAGAGAUCACAUAUUUGCUAUACAAAAAUUAUCAGGAAACUCAAGGAGACAAUGAGGAAAUAACUUUGCUUUUUUACACUCACUUUUUUUUUUAAUAUGCAGGUAGCAUUCUGGGGACAGCCUCUUUGAUUUUGCUGGAAACCCACAUUCCCACAUCCAGCCACUUCUGUAGGGAGUGAAGGCUGGCUGGUGAUGAGUUUAUCCCAAACAGCUGCUUGGAAAGUUUAUUUUUCAAGUGAGACAAUUGUUGUGAGGGAUGUUAACAGUCCUAGAUGAAAUGAACAUGUGGCUCAUUUAGCGAGCUGCUGGGAUAUCACUGCCUUUUAAUGGAAAUGAGUGGAUGGCAUCAGGCACCUUGUAAUUAAGGGAAGCUGCAGUACGGCAGCAGUUACCUAUGAGAGCAUCUAGUGACAGGUGUCCUAAGGAGGCUGCGGACAGUGUUCUUAUUCUAAAAGCUUCUGCUAGACAACAGAGUGGAGUAAAGAUAGGAGACGCUGUUUUUUAGUUUUUGUUCUUGUUUCUGGGUUAAAAAAUCUGAGACUUCCAGGUACAUCACUGAUAAUGAAACCUUGGAGACUACAGUAAUAGCAGUGUCCAUGAGUUUGGAAGUGUAAGUUUUGUGAACUCAAGGAUUAUUCUCCCCUUGCUUUCCUGUUUGCUUUGUCAUCAGGGUAGGGAGUGGAGGGAGUACUGUUCCUGAAACGUCAGUGUCCCAGGUGCCCAGGGGCAUGCCUUUUGCUGCCACCUUUUGGACUGGAGAGAUUUUUUUUUCUUUUGGAAGCCACUCCCAGGUGGUUUAUUAAUUAUGGACUGAAUAAUCGAGCUGUGAAAAUGAGCCUCCGGCCUCCAGGGAUGUAAAAUAUCGGCUCACUUGAAACAAACAGAGAGCAGCUUCUUCAAGGAAAUUGCUUCCGGGGAUGUUCAGAACUGAUCAAGUGGUUGUGAAAUCCUGCUGUUAAAUGAGGUCUCACAGCAUCUUUCUGGCGUCAUUUUAUUCCCCAUGGACCAGGAAAACAGCUGUCACCAGGGGCCAUAAAAUGGAUUAGAUCUGAAUUGAGCCAGAAGCAAGAGGGGUUGCUUGGGGGCCUACGUCCUGGACAUCAAAAGUAGUGGUUGGCUCUGGGCUGGACCCUGACCUUCAGAUGGACAUUAUCAGCGAACUUGACCUCGUAAACACCACCCGUGGAGUCACUCAGGUGUCUGGACAGCACAAUGGCAGCAAAGCGUUUUUAUUUCAAGUACGGUGGGCUGCUUUGUGGAGGAGAGAAUGCGGAGACCCCAGGAUGUCACUGCAGGCCCAGAUAGGAGGACGUCUGCAGGACUCCAGCAGGUACAGAGGGACCGCUCCUGCCGCCUCACCCUGAUGCCCAGCCUUGGAUAAAUCCUACAGCCCAUGCUCAUCAGAGACUGUGGGACUGAGCCACGUCGGCCCUAUGGUUCAGGCCUCCAGGUCUUCCCCCAGGACUCACGGUGCUGCUGCCCAACAGAGUGGUGUCCUGAAGAGCCCUAACGGUGUAGCACGACCUUGGAGACCUUCCAUGAAUCUGGCUCCAACGCAGCUGUCUCUUCUCAUCACCCACAGUGUCCCUUUCCUGAUGCCAUCUCUUCCCUGCUUACUUAUGGCCCUUGAGUGGAUGUUGCACUUUUGAGUUGCCUGUCUUUACUCUCAGUGUCUUGUCAAACAAAGAGGUCCUUGUCUAUGUGUCAGCCUCUUUACCUUUCUUCAUGUGUACUCCGAUUUCCUCUUACCCAUCCUGGAUGGCUUCAGUUCACAUUAUAUGGGUUUCUUCUGGAAUGUCUCCAAAAUUCUAUUUAACUCAUCUUUGUUCUAUGUUACUUUGUAGCUUGUCUUUCUUGCUAUCAUCUCUCUUAGGGUAGGGGCUUGAUGAUAGGAACCUUAUCCACACUUAAGAACCUACAAUGCAUCU